GUGUGUGUGUGUGUGUGAGUGUGUGUGUUCACUGUAGUGUAACAGAGGUUUUUGUACGACGGUUUCAUUAGAAUGUAUCACUGUGGAACACUUUUGGUGGAGGAACAAAACUCAGCAUCAAGGGUCCCACUGUGAAGCCCUCCGUGUCUCUGCUCCAUCCAUCGUCUCUGCAGCUCUCUGAGGGACCGGCCUCACUGCUCUGCCUGCUAUCUGCCUACUCUCCACAGGGGGCGACAGUGAGCUGGACAGUGGAUGGCUCACUGGUGAAUGAAGGGGUUCUAACCAGCCC
Silurus meridionalis is the source of this 289-nucleotide long non-coding RNA. RefSeq lists it as uncharacterized. The transcript is spliced from 2 exons. The record is from RefSeq and is a predicted model, not a curated record. NCBI's taxonomy places the organism in Eukaryota, Metazoa, Chordata, Actinopteri, Siluriformes, Siluridae.